Molecule: ribosomal RNA, 441 nt
Filed under: uncultured bacterium
Lineage: Bacteria
Description: bacterial SSU rRNA
Rfam family: Bacterial small subunit ribosomal RNA
Source: RNAcentral
AGAGUUUGAUCAUGGCUCAGGACGAACGCUGGCGGCGUGCUUAACACAUGCAAGUCGAACGGAGCACCCCUGAAGGAGUUUUCGGACAACGGAAGGGAAUGCUUAGUGGCGGACUGGUGAGUAACGCGUGAGGAACCUGCCUUUCGGAGGGGGACAACAGUUGGAAACGACUGCUAAUACCGCAUGAUAUAUUGAUGUCGCAUGGCAUUGAUAUCAAAGAUUUAUCGCCGAAAGAUGGCCUCGCGUCUGAUUAGCUAGUUGGUGAGGUAACGGCCCACCAAGGCGACGAUCAGUAGCCGGACUGAGAGGUUGGCCGGCCACAUUGGGACUGAGAUACGGCCCAAACUCCUACGGGAGGCAUCACUCCCCCAAUAUUGGGCAAUGGACGCAAGUCUGACCCAGCAACGCCGCGUGAAGGAAGAAGGCUUUCCGGUUGUAAAC